Molecule: ribosomal RNA, 460 nt
Filed under: uncultured bacterium
Lineage: Bacteria
Description: partial 16S ribosomal RNA
Rfam family: Bacterial small subunit ribosomal RNA
Source: RNAcentral
CCUACGGGAGGCAGCAGUGAGGAAUAUUGGUCAAUGGACGCAAGUCUGAACCAGCCAUGCCGCGUGCAGGAAGACGGCUCUAUGAGUUGUAAACUGCUUUUGUACGAGGGUAAACGCAGAUACGCGUAUCUGUCUGAAAGUAUCGUACGACUAAGGAUCGGCUAACUCCGUGCCAGCAGACGCGGUAAUACGGAGGAUUCAAGCGUUAUCCGGAUUUAUUGGGUUUAAAGGGUGCGUAGGCGGUCGGAUAAGUUAGAGGUGAAAUCCCGAGGCUCGACGUCGGAAUUGCCGCUGAUACUGUUCGGCUAGAGAGUAGUUGCGGUAGGCGGAAUGUAUGGUGUAGCGGUGAAAUGCUUAGAGAUCAUACAGAACACCGAUUGCGAAGGCAGCUUACCAAGCUACUUCUGACGUUGAGGCACGAAAGCGUGGGGAGCAAACAGGAUUAGAUACCCCAGUAGUC